GACGAACGCUGGCGGCGUGCUUAACACAUGCAAGUCGAACGGAAAGGCCCUGCUUUUGUGGGGUGCUCGAGUGGCGAACGGGUGAGUAACACGUGAGUAACCUGCCCUUGACUUUGGGAUAACUUCAGGAAACUGGGGCUAAUACCGGAUAGGAGCUCCUGCUGCAUGGUGGGGGUUGGAAAGUUUCGGCGGUUGGGGAUGGACUCGCGGCUUAUCAGCUUGUUGGUGGGGUAGUGGCUUACCAAGGCUUUGACGGGUAGCCGGCCUGAGAGGGUGACCGGCCAAAUUGGGACUGGGAUGAGGCCCAGACUCCUACGGGAGGGAAAGGUGGGGAAUAUUGCACCAUGGGCGGGAGCCUGAAGCCACAACGCCGGGUGCGGGAAGACGGGCUUCGGGUUGGAAACCGCUUUCGCCUGUGACGAAGCGUGAGUGACGGUAAUGGGUAAAGAAGCACCGGCUAACUACGUG
RNAcentral lists this ribosomal RNA (468 nucleotides) under uncultured bacterium. RNAcentral describes it as "partial 16S ribosomal RNA". It matches the Rfam family "Bacterial small subunit ribosomal RNA", at positions 28 to 507 of the family's 1533-position model. The record is from RNAcentral.